GUUAAGCGACUAAGCGUACACGGUGGAUGCCUAGGCAAUCAGAGGCGAUGAAGGACGUGCUAAUCUGCGAAAAGCGUCGGUAAGGUGAUAUGAACCGUUAUAACCGACGAUGUCCGAAUGGGGAAACCCAGUGCAAUUCGUUGCACUAUCGUUUGAUGAAUCCAUAGUCAAACGAGGCGAACCGGGGGAACUGAAACAUCUCAGUACCCCGAGGAAAAGAAAUCAACCGAGAUUCCCCUAGUAGCGGCGAGCGAACGGGGAGCAGCCCAGAGUCUUAAUCAGUAUCAGCAUCAGGAGAACGGUCUGGAAAGGCCGGCAAUAAAGGGUGAUAGCCCCGUAUCCGAAGGUGUUGGUGUUGUGACUCGACGAGUAGGGCGGGACACGUGUUAUCCUGUCUGAAUAUGGGGGGACUUCCUCCAAGGCUAAAUACUCCUGAUUGACCGAUAUUGACCCGUACCGUGAGGGAAAGGCGAAAUGAACCCCGGGCGAGGGGAGUGGAAAUAAAACCUGNNNNNNNNNNNNNNNNNNNNNNNNNNNNNNNNNNNNNNNNNNNNNNNNNNNNNNNNNNNNNNNNNNNNNNNNNNNNNNNNNNNNNNNNNNNNNNNNNNNNCUGCGUACUUUUGUAUAUGGGUCAGCGACUUAUAUUCUGUAGCAAGGUUAACCAAAUAGGGGAGCCGUAGGGAAACCGAGUCUUAACUGGGCGAAUGAGUUGCAGGGUAUAGACCCGAAACCCGGUGAUCUAGCCAUGGGCAGGUUGAAGGUUGGGUAACACUAACUGGAGGACCGAACCGACUAAUGUUGAAAAAUUAGCGGAUGACUUGUGGCUGGGGGUGAAAGGCCAAUCAAACCGGGAGAUAGCUGGUUCUCCCCGAAAGCUAUUUAGGUAGCGCCUCGUGAACUCAUCUUCGGGGGUAGAGCACUGUUUCGGCUAGGGGGUCAUCCCGACUUACCAACCCGAUGCAAACUACGAAUACCGAAGAAUGUUAUCACGGGAGACACACGGCGGGUGCUAACGUUCGUCGUGAAGAGGGAAACAACCCAGACCGCCAGCUAAGGUCCCAAAGUCAUGGUUAAGUGGGAAACGAAGUGGGAAGGCUCAGACAGCCAGGAUGUUGGCUUAGAAGCAGCCAUCAUUUAAAGAAAGCGUAAUAGCUCACUGGUCGAGUCGGCCUGCGCGGAAGAUGUAACGGGGCUAAACCAUGCACCGAAGCUGCGGCAGCGACAUGUAAAUGUUGUUGGGUAGGGGAGCGUUCUGUAAGCCUGUGAAGGUGUGCUGCGAGGCAUGCUGGAGGUAUCAGAAGUGCGAAUGCUGACAUAAGUAACGAUAAUGCGGGUGAAAAACCCGCACGCCGGAAGACCAAGGGUUCCUGUCCAACGUUAAUCGGGGCAGGGUGAGUCGACCCCUAAGGCGAGGCAGAAAUGCGUAGUCGAUGGGAAACAGGUUAAUAUUCCUGUACUGGUGAUAAUUGCGAUGGGGGGACGGAGAAGGCUAGGCUGGCCGGGCGACGGUUGUCCCGGUUUAAGGAUGUAGGUGGGUGAAUUAGGCAAAUCCGGUUCACUGUACACUGAGGUCUGAUGACGAGUCACUACGGUGGCGAAGUAGCUCAUGCCCCGCUUCCAGGAAAAGCCUCUAAGCUCUAGAUUAUCAUUAAUCGUACCCCAAACCGACACAGGUGGUCAGGUAGAGAAUACUCAGGCGCUUGAGAGAACUCGGGUGAAGGAACUAGGCAAAAUGGUGCCGUAACUUCGGGAGAAGGCACGCUGGCAUUAGGUGAAGUGGUUUACCCAUGGAGCUGAAGCCAGUCGCAGAUACCAGCUGGCUGCAACUGUUUAUUAAAAACACAGCACUGUGCAAACACGAAAGUGGACGUAUACGGUGUGACGCCUGCCCGGUGCUGGAAGGUUAAUUGAUGGGGUUAUCCGUAAGGAGAAGCUCUUGAUCGAAGCCCCAGUAAACGGCGGCCGUAACUAUAACGGUCCUAAGGUAGCGAAAUUCCUUGUCGGGUAAGUUCCGACCUGCACGAAUGGCGUAAUGAUGGCCAGGCUGUCUCCACCCGAGACUCAGUGAAAUUGAACUCGCUGUGAAGAUGCAGUGUACCCGCGGCAAGACGGAAAGACCCCGUGAACCUUUACUAUAGCUUGACACUGAACAUUGAGCCUUGAUGUGUAGGAUAGGUGGGAGGCUUUGAAGUGUGGACGCCAGUCUGCAUGGAGCCAACCUUGAAAUACCACCCUUUAAUGUUUGAUGUUCUAACGUUGCCCCGUAAUCCGGGGUGCGGACAGUGUCUGGUGGGUAGUUUGACUGGGGCGGUCUCCUCCCAAAGCGUAACGGAGGAGCACGAAGGUUGGCUAAGCAUGGUCGGACAUCAUGCGGUUAGUGCAAAGGCAUAAGCCAGCUUGACUGCGAGAGUGACGGCUCGAGCAGGUACGAAAGUAGGUCUUAGUGAUCCGGUGGUUCUGAAUGGAAGGGCCAUCGCUCAACGGAUAAAAGGUACUCCGGGGAUAACAGGCUGAUACCGCCCAAGAGUUCAUAUCGACGGCGGUGUUUGGCACCUCGAUGUCGGCUCAUCACAUCCUGGGGCUGAAGUAGGUCCCAAGGGUAUGGCUGUUCGCCAUUUAAAGUGGUACGCGAGCUGGGUUUAGAACGUCGUGAGACAGUUCGGUCCCUAUCUGCCGUUGGCGUUGGAAGAUUGAAAGGGGCUGCUCCUAGUACGAGAGGACCGGAGUGGACGCACCGCUGGUGUUCGGGUUGUCAUGCCAAUGGCACUGCCCGGUAGCUAAGUGCGGAAGAGAUAACCGCUGAAAGCAUCUAAGCGGGAAACUUGCCUUGAGAUGAGUCUUCCCUGACUCUUUAAGGGUCCUAAAGGAACGUUUAAGACGAAGACGUUGAUAGGCUGGGUGUGUAAGCGUAGCGAUACGUUGAGCUAACCAGUACUAAUGAACCGUGAGGCUUAACC
RNAcentral lists this ribosomal RNA (2957 nucleotides) under Providencia stuartii. RNAcentral's name for it is "Bacterial large subunit ribosomal RNA". It matches the Rfam family "Bacterial large subunit ribosomal RNA". Lineage: Bacteria; Pseudomonadati; Pseudomonadota; Gammaproteobacteria; Enterobacterales; Morganellaceae. The record is from RNAcentral.